GAUGAACGCUGGCGGCGUGCCUAAUACAUGCAAGUCGAGCGAACAGACGAGGAGCUUGCUCCUCUGACGUUAGCGGCGUACGGGUGAGUAACACGUGGAUAACCUACCUAUAAGACUGGGAUAACUUCGGGAAACCGGAGCUAAUACCGGAUAAUAUAUUGAACCGCAUGGUUCAAUAGUUAAAGACGGUUUUGCUGUCACUUCUAGAUGGAUCCGCGCCGCAUUAGCUAGUUGGUAAGGUAACGGCUUACCAAGGCAACGAUGCGUAGCCGACCUGAGAGGGUGAUCGGCCACACUGGAACUGAGACACGGUCCAGACUCCUACGGGAGGCAGCAGUAGGGAAUCUUCCGCAAAGGGCGAAAGCCUGACGGAGCAACGCCGCGUGAGUGAUGAAGGUCUUCGGAUCGUAAAACUCUGUUAUUAGGGAAGAACAAAUGUGUAAGUAACUAUGCACGUCUUGACGGUACCUAAUCAGAAAGCCACGGCUAACUACGUG
RNAcentral lists this ribosomal RNA (497 nucleotides) under uncultured bacterium. RNAcentral describes it as "partial 16S ribosomal RNA". It matches the Rfam family "Bacterial small subunit ribosomal RNA", at positions 28 to 507 of the family's 1533-position model. The record is from RNAcentral.